AACGCACAUUGCGCCCUUUGGUAUUCCGAGGGGCAUGCCUGUUCGAGCGUCAUUAUAACCCUCAAGCUUAGCUUGGUAUUGGGGUCGCUAUCCAGCGACCCCUAAAUUUAGUGGCGGUGCCUAUAGGUUCUACGCGUAGUCAUAUCUCUCGCGAUGGAUCCCCUGUAAGGCCCUAGCCAAUAACCCCUAAUUUUUUUUUUUAGGUUGACCUCGGAUCAGGUAGGGAUACCCGCUGAACUUAA
RNAcentral lists this unclassified non-coding RNA (242 nucleotides) under uncultured fungus. RNAcentral's name for it is "sequence contains ITS2". Lineage: Eukaryota; Fungi. The record is from RNAcentral.